This 619-nucleotide ribosomal RNA is filed under the name uncultured bacterium. Its description in RNAcentral is "bacterial SSU rRNA". It matches the Rfam family "Bacterial small subunit ribosomal RNA", at positions 338 to 954 of the family's 1533-position model. The record is from RNAcentral.
CCUACGGGAGGCAGCAGUAGGGAAUCUUCCACAAUGGACGAAAGUCUGAUGGAGCAACGCCGCGUGAGUGAUGAAGGUUUUCGGAUCGUAAAACUCUGUUGUAAGGGAAGAACAAGUACGAGAGGUAAUGCUCGUACCUUGACGGUACCUUGCGAGAAAGCCACGGCUAACUACGUGCCAGCAGCCGCGGUAAUACGUAGGUGGCAAGCGUUGUCCGGAAUUAUUGGGCGUAAAGCGCGCGCAGGCGGCCUUUUAAGUCUGAUGUGAAAGCCCCCGGCUCAACCGGGAGGUCAUUGGAAACUGGAAGGCUUGAGUACAGAAGAGAAGAGUGGAAUUCCAUGUGUAGCGGUGAAAUGCGUAGAGAUGUGGAGGAACACCAGUGGCGAAGGCGACUCUUUGGUCUGUAACUGACGCUGAGGCGCGAAAGCGUGGGGAGCAAACAGGAUUAGAUACCCUGGUAGUCCACGCCGUAAACGAUGAGUGCUAGGUGUUGGGGGUUUCCGCCCGUCAGUGCUGAAGCUAACGCAUUAAGCACUCCGCCUGGGGAGUACGGCCGCAAGGCUGAAACUCAAAGGAAUUGACGGCNGAGACGAGCGACGGACGACGACGAGGGAGGAGG